Molecule: long non-coding RNA, 1198 nt
Organism: Juglans microcarpa x Juglans regia
Lineage: Eukaryota; Viridiplantae; Streptophyta; Magnoliopsida; Fagales; Juglandaceae
Exons: 3
Source: RefSeq, a predicted model, not a curated record
UGGUUGGCUGGUCAUAUUGCCAAGAACAGCUAGAUUGAUAUUAGCAUCCACCAAUUAAGAGGCAAAGCAGUCUUGGUUUUCCUCAACUUCUCCUCUAAAAUCCAAAUAUAUAUACAAGAAUACCCAAAUCCAAGAUAGCCAUUGACAUAAUGAGAAUGGAGAGGAGGAAUGAGUCAACAACAUUUUAGAGAAAUAAGGACGUGCAAGCUUUUUCUUGUACCCUUCUAGCUCUUCCUAAAUUUUGUUCAUCUAGGAGGAUCAAAUCAGUGAUAAGUAAUAAAUCGAUGUAAAUAAAUAGCAUCUUAACUGUUUGCACAUUCUAGUUUCGUAUUUAUAGCUUACUAUAUAUUAAGUAGCAAAACUUGUUCUAAAGUGAAUAGCAAAUGGUAACAUAUCAGAGUGCAGAGGAAAUAAAGCACCCCCUUAAGUGCCUCUAACAUGCUGUUAAGUUUUCAGCUGUCAAGUUGAUGCCAAAGAAAUAUAGUGUGGUAUGCAAAGGGUGCUUAGCAAUUUGCUGAGGAUUUUUAUUCUUUGGUUUCUGAGCUUUGAACUCUAAGUCAUCCGAAAUGUGCUGUGAUGUGCAAUGUUGCUGUGAUUUAGUAUCUGAAUAUAAGGCUUUAGAUUGACAUGUUAAUCUUUUGCUGCUACAUAUGCCAGGAAAUGUUGUUGUGAUUGCCACCCGCAGGAUUGUAAGGCCACCAAAGAAAGGUUCUGCUGCUCAAAGGCCACGCUCCCGCACAGUAACAUCUGUUAGAAAAUGCUAUGUUAGAGGACAUUGUGCAUCCUGCUGAGAUUCUUGGGAAAUGCAUCAGAUACGGAAUUGAUGGUUCCAAAGUAAUCAAGGUUUUAGAGGCCUCCUGGACCAAUUCCAUCUUCAAUGUUGGGUUUGGAGGCUGUUACUGGUGGCUUGGAUGAUUUUGGUUUUGAGGAUUAUCUGAAUGGUUGCCAAUUGAUGUUUAUAGCAAGAUGAAAGAACUAGAGACGGAGAUCCUUUCCAAUGAUUCAGGGAGCCAAAUGGCCAUUUUCUGAUCUCAUUAUUUCUAGGCACCUGCUCAUCUCCUUUUGAUUGCAACAUAACAGGCAAAACUGACUUCAUAGAGAUGUCUAGUUUAGUAUUUUUUGUUAAUACACUUUUCCAUGCCAUGUAAAAGGAAAAACAAAAGAGGAGAGAUUGCUAGGAUUCCUAGGUGGGUGUAAU